Molecule: non-coding RNA, 1806 nt
Organism: Chiloscyllium plagiosum (whitespotted bambooshark)
Lineage: Eukaryota; Metazoa; Chordata; Chondrichthyes; Orectolobiformes; Hemiscylliidae
Source: RefSeq, a predicted model, not a curated record
UCCAGGCAGGUGGGACAUUUUAGUUUGGGAACAUGGUCAGCAUGGGCUGGUUGGACCAAAGGGUCUGUUUGUAUACUGUGUGACUCUUUGUUCCUCCCUUGAGCUGGUCCUUUACAACGGAGUUUCUUCACAAUUUGCUGUUCUGAGUAUCUCACUCAUGUUGUUUGCCACAUUUUGUUUGACAGCAUUACUGUGAGGCACCUCAGUCGAUGUGCUUUGUGUUGCCUAACAGAAAUGCAUUGUACUGCUUUUUCACCCAGGAAUGAGCCUCUGUGUCUCAGCCUUGUUACAGGCAAGAAUGUUGCCAAUUUCUGGUCAGUUUGAGCAGCAUAUUCUAUGGUCUGUUGUUGCUAAUUGACAAGAGGGUUAUCUUCCUCUUUAUAGGAGGAAGAGGAGGAGGAUUUCAACGAUGGAGAAUUAGACGAGGAGGAGGAGGAGGAUGAACAAACAGGGAUCAAAGGACAGAAGAGGAAACGAGAUCCUGAGGAUGAAGGCGAAGAAGAUGACUAAAUUUUGGAUGUUAACCUACUGUGAUUUUGUUUUUAUCUUUUUUUUUCGCUCCCUCCCUCCCCCACCCCACCCCAAAUUCCCUCCUGCCCCAAUGUUGCUGUGGGAAUGAUGAGCUGGAGGAAAACUCCUGUUACUGCUGCUCAGGGAUGUUUAAUUUUUAUUUUUAUUUUCGUUGAUGUUUGGUAUUGGUGAGUUUGGAUGAGUUACAAGUAUGGGCAAGGCCCAACAUUGAGUCAUAUUGUCUCUUUUUUUUAAACAAAAACUGCAAUGAUUUUGGGUGGGUGGAGCAGCCAUUAAAAAUUCAUAUCCGACAUCAUUGCCACAGCAACAUGUACCAAAUGGCACAUUUGAAAUGCAACAACAGAAGAGGGGGUGUGUGUGUGUAUUUACUGUGCUGUAAAUGGCUGCCACUUUUGGAAGUGAAGCUGAUUUAAUUUUCUCCCUUUUUUGUGAAAUGCCUCCUUCCUCCCCAUCACUCUGUUUCCCAUCUUGUUUCUCUCCCCUGCCCCCAGAAUCCUUCUCUCAGACCCCAUUGGUGUGAAUCCAUGUUUUUUUUUCUAAAUGGUGACCAAAUAUCAUUCAUCUUGCCCACAUCCCAUGUCCUACACACCCAUAUUCCUCAUCUUGUCGCUCCCCUCCACCCCCCCCCAUUCCCCAUCCUGUCUUUCCUCUUUCUCAGCACCAUUCCCCAUCAUGUCACUCCUCUCCAACCCAGUUCCCCGGUCCUGUCCCUGCUUUCCCUACUCACACCCAGUUUCCCAUCCUAACCUACAGCUUGCCUUCUGAAAAUGGCACCCAUUUGAGUUAUAGUCCUAAUCAAUGAUUGGUAGUGUAAUACAGUUGUAAUAAACAAAAAUUACAUUUGAAACUCUGUAACCCAGCAACUGUGUACUAUUUUUUUUUUGGGUCUGUAAAAUAUAACCUGAUACCAUAAAGGAGGAUUUAUUUCCUCCUUGAGCUGUACACUUUGACUUUUUUUACCAGCCUCAUUAUGCAGAAGAAUAAAUCUAGCACGUAGUGUUGAAUGGGCAUGUUUUCAUACAUUCGAGGGCAUCUUACUAAUACAGAAUUGUAUUUUCUUAUCUUGGUGAAGUCAGUAAAAUUGACUUGGGGUGGGAAAAAUGCCUAGUGAAUGUACAGAGUUUUACUUUCAUAUUUGGGGUGACUGUAUUCCUAGUCAAUAUUUCAUCUGUACAAAAGAUCACCACAGUUUUUUCUCAGCAAAGCCAAACCUUUAGUUUUGUGUCUGUUUUUUGUCAUUCAACAGUUUCAAUAAAUCCUUUUUUUUAUAUACAA